CUACGGGUGGCAGCAGUGAGGAAUAUUGCACAAUGGGGGAAACCCUGACGCAGCAACGCCGCGUGAGCGAAGAGGGCCCUCGGGUCGUAAAGCUCUGUCAAGUGGGAAAAAGGUUUCUUGGUUAAUACCCAGGAGAUUUGAUGGUACCACUGGAGGAAGCACCGGCUAACUCCGUGCCAGCAGCCGCGGUAAUACAGAGGGUGCAAGCGUUGGUCGGAAUUACUGGGCGUAAAGGGCGUGCAGGCGGUUUGGCAAGUCAGAUGUGAAAGCCCUGGGCUUAACUCGGGAAGUGCAUUUGGAACUGCCAUUCUUGAGUAUGGGAGAGGAGAGUGGAAUUCCCAGUGUAGAGGUGAAAUUCGUAGAUAUUGGGAGGAACACCCGUGGCGAAGGCGACUCUCUGGACCAAUACUGACGCUGAGACGCGAAAGCGUGGGGAGCAAACAGGAUUAGAUACCCGCGUAGUC
Molecule: ribosomal RNA, 464 nt
Filed under: uncultured bacterium
Lineage: Bacteria
Description: partial 16S ribosomal RNA
Rfam family: Bacterial small subunit ribosomal RNA
Source: RNAcentral